This 895-nucleotide ribosomal RNA is filed under the name Fusarium oxysporum f. sp. pini. RNAcentral describes it as "LSU rRNA". It matches the Rfam family "Eukaryotic large subunit ribosomal RNA", at positions 38 to 962 of the family's 3401-position model. The record is from RNAcentral. Lineage: Eukaryota; Fungi; Ascomycota; Sordariomycetes; Hypocreales; Nectriaceae.
CCAUAUCAAUAAGCGGAGGAAAAGAAACCAACAGGGAUUGCCCUAGUAACGGCGAGUGAAGCGGCAACAGCUCAAAUUUGAAAUCUGGCUCUCGGGCCCGAGUUGUAAUUUGUAGAGGAUACUUUUGAUGCGGUGCCUUCCGAGUUCCCUGGAACGGGACGCCAUAGAGGGUGAGAGCCCCGUCUGGUUGGAUGCCAAAUCUCUGUAAAGUUCCUUCAACGAGUCGAGUAGUUUGGGAAUGCUGCUCUAAAUGGGAGGUAUAUGUCUUCUAAAGCUAAAUACCGGCCAGAGACCGAUAGCGCACAAGUAGAGUGAUCGAAAGAUGAAAAGCACUUUGAAAAGAGAGUUAAAAAGUACGUGAAAUUGUUGAAAGGGAAGCGUUUAUGACCAGACUUGGGCUUGGUUAAUCAUCUGGGGUUCUCCCCAGUGCACUUUUCCAGUCCAGGCCAGCAUCAGUUUUCCCCGGGGGAUAAAGGCGGCGGGAAUGUGGCUCUCUUCGGGGAGUGUUAUAGCCCGUCGUGUAAUACCCUGGGGGGGACUGAGGUUCGCGCAUCUGCAAGGAUGCUGGCGUAAUGGUCAUCAACGACCCGUCUUGAAACACGGACCAAGGAGUCGUCUUCGUAUGCGAGUGUUCGGGUGUCAAACCCCUACGCGUAAUGAAAGUGAACGCAGGUGAGAGCUUCGGCGCAUCAUCGACCGAUCCUGAUGUUCUCGGAUGGAUUUGAGUAAGAGCAUACGGGGCCGGACCCGAAAGAAGGUGAACUAUGCCUGUAUAGGGUGAAGCCAGAGGAAACUCUGGUGGAGGCUCGCAGCGGUUCUGACGUGCAAAUCGAUCGUCAAAUAUGGGCAUGGGGGCGAAAGACUAAUCGAACCUUUCUAGUAGCUGGUUUCCGCC